CCUACGGGUGGCUGCAGUGGGGAAUAUUGGACAAUGGGGGGAACCCUGAUCCAGCCAUGCCGCGUGUGUGAAGAAGGCCCUCGGGUUGUAAAGCACUUUCAGUGAGGAAGAACGCCUGGUGGUUAAUACCCAUCAGGAAAGACAUCACUCACAGAAGAAGCACCGGCUAACUCCGUGCCAGCAGCCGCGGUAAUACGGAGGGUGCGAGCGUUAAUCGGAAUUACUGGGCGUAAAGCGCGCGUAGGUGGCUUGAUAAGCCGGUUGUGAAAGCCCCGGGCUCAACCUGGUAACGGCAUCCGGAACUGUCAAGCUAGAGUGCAGGAGAGGAAGGUAGAAUUCCCGGUGUAGCGGUGAAAUGCGUAGAGAUCGGGAGGAAUACCAGUGGCGAAGGCGGCCUUCUGGACUGACACUGACACUGAGGUGCGAAAGCGUGGGUAGCAAACAGGAUUAGAUACCCCUGUAGUC
RNAcentral lists this ribosomal RNA (465 nucleotides) under Vreelandella stevensii. RNAcentral's name for it is "partial 16S ribosomal RNA". It matches the Rfam family "Bacterial small subunit ribosomal RNA", at positions 338 to 795 of the family's 1533-position model. The record is from RNAcentral. Lineage: Bacteria; Pseudomonadati; Pseudomonadota; Gammaproteobacteria; Oceanospirillales; Halomonadaceae.